AGUCGAACGGUAACAGGAAGCAGCUUGCUGCUUCGCUGACGAGUGGCGGACGGGUGAGUAAUGUCUGGGAAACUGCCUGAUGGAGGGGGAUAACUACUGGAAACGGUAGCUAAUACCGCAUAACGUCGCAAGACCAAAGAGGGGGACCUUCGGGCCUCUUGCCAUCGGAUGUGCCCAGAUGGGAUUAGCUAGUAGGUGGGGUAACGGCUCACCUAGGCGACGAUCCCUAGCUGGUCUGAGAGGAUGACCAGCCACACUGGAACUGAGACACGGUCCAGACUCCUACGGGAGGCAGCAGUGGGGAAUAUUGCACAAUGGGCGCAAGCCUGAUGCAGCCAUGCCGCGUGUAUGAAGAAGGCCUUCGGGUUGUAAAGUACUUUCAGCGGGGAGGAAGGUGAUGAGGUUAAUAACCUUGUCAAUUGACGUUACCCGCAGAAGAAGCACCGGCUAACUCCGUGCCAGCAGCCGCGGUAAUACGGAGGGUGCAAGCGUUAAUCGGAAUUACUGGGCGUAAAGCGCACGCAGGCGGUCUGUCAAGUCGGAUGUGAAAUCCCCGGGCUCAACCUGGGAACUGCAUUCGAAACUGGCAGGCUAGAGUCUUGUAGAGGGGGGUAGAAUUCCAGGUGUAGCGGUGAAAUGCGUAGAGAUCUGGAGGAAUACCGGUGGCGAAGGCGGCCCCCUGGACAAAGACUGACGCUCA
Molecule: ribosomal RNA, 700 nt
Filed under: Enterobacter sp.
Lineage: Bacteria; Pseudomonadati; Pseudomonadota; Gammaproteobacteria; Enterobacterales; Enterobacteriaceae
Description: bacterial SSU rRNA
Rfam family: Bacterial small subunit ribosomal RNA
Source: RNAcentral